CCUACGGGUGGCAGCAGUGAGGAAUAUUGGUCAAUGGGCGAGAUUCUGAACCAGCCAAGCCGCGUGAGGGAAGAAGGUACUCUGGGUUGUAAACUUCUUUUGUCAGGGAACACAAACUGGGACGCGUCCCCGCGUGCGUGUACCUGAAGAAAAAGCAUCGGCUCACUCCGUGCCAGCAGCCGCGGUAAUACGGGGGAUGAGAGCGUUGUCCGGAUUUAUUGGGUUUAGAGGGUGCGCAGGGGGUCUGUUAAGUCAGCGGUAAAAUCCCGGGCCUCAACCCCGCCGGGCCGUUGAAACUGGCAGUCUUGAGUUGGAGAGAAGGACGCGGAAUGCGCGGUGUAGCGGUGAAAUGCAUAGAUAUCGCGCAGAACUCCGAUGGCGAAGGCAGCUUGCCGGCCCCACACUGACGCUGAGGCACGAAAGCGUGGGGAUCGAACAGGAUUAGAUACCCCAGUAGUC
This 459-nucleotide ribosomal RNA is filed under the name uncultured bacterium. RNAcentral describes it as "partial 16S ribosomal RNA". It matches the Rfam family "Bacterial small subunit ribosomal RNA", at positions 338 to 795 of the family's 1533-position model. The record is from RNAcentral.